RNAcentral lists this transfer RNA (87 nucleotides) under Pelagibacterium luteolum. RNAcentral describes it as "tRNA_Leu_CAA". It matches the Rfam family "tRNA". Rfam says of the family: Transfer RNA (tRNA) molecules are approximately 80 nucleotides in length. Their secondary structure includes four short double-helical elements and three loops (D, anti-codon, and T loops). The record is from RNAcentral. RNAcentral also lists the same sequence under 6 other names. Lineage: Bacteria; Pseudomonadati; Pseudomonadota; Alphaproteobacteria; Hyphomicrobiales; Devosiaceae.
GCGGGCGUGGCGGAACUGGUAGACGCGCCAGACUCAAAAUCUGGUUCUGGAAACAGAGUGUCGGUUCGAUUCCGACCGCCCGCACCA